UUGAACGCUGGCGGCAUGCCUUACACAUGCAAGUCGAACGGUAACAGGUUAAGCUGACGAGUGGCGAACGGGUGAGUAAUAUAUCGGAACGUGCCCAGUUGUGGGGGAUAACUACUCGAAAGAGUGGCUAAUACCGCAUGAGACCUGAGGGUGAAAGCGGGGGAUCGCAAGACCUCGCGCAAUUGGAGCGGCCGAUAUCAGAUUAGCUAGUUGGUGGGGUAAAAGCCCACCAAGGCCACGAUCUGUAGCUGGUCUGAGAGGACGACCAGCCACACUGGGACUGAGCCACGGCCCAGACUCCUACGGGAGGCAGCAGGGGGGAAUUUUGGACAAUGGGCGAAAGCCUGAUCCAGCCAUGCCGCGUGCAGGAUGAAGGCCUUCGGGUUGUAAACUGCUUUUGUACGGAACGAAAAAGUCUUCUCUAAUACAGGGGGCGAAUGACGGUACCGUAAGAAUAAGCACCGGCUAACUACGU
This 475-nucleotide ribosomal RNA is filed under the name uncultured bacterium. Its description in RNAcentral is "bacterial SSU rRNA". It matches the Rfam family "Bacterial small subunit ribosomal RNA", at positions 30 to 506 of the family's 1533-position model. The record is from RNAcentral.